CAACCGAAGCAAAGUCUUGCAUCAAGUUUCGACCUUGAAAUCUUAGGGUUUCCUACGGUAGUA
This 63-nucleotide transfer RNA is filed under the name Physidae sp. P3S_19. Its description in RNAcentral is "tRNA-Arg". The record is from RNAcentral. Lineage: Eukaryota; Metazoa; Mollusca; Gastropoda; Physidae.